RNAcentral lists this ribosomal RNA (449 nucleotides) under uncultured bacterium. RNAcentral describes it as "SSU rRNA". It matches the Rfam family "Bacterial small subunit ribosomal RNA", at positions 26 to 518 of the family's 1533-position model. The record is from RNAcentral.
AGAGCGAACGCUGGCGGCAGGCCUAACACAUGCAAGUCGAGCGCCCGUAGCAAUACGGGAGCGGCAGACGGGAUAGUAACACGUGGGAACGCGCCCUUCGGUUCGGAAUAACUCAGGGAAACUUGAGCUAAUACCGGAUACGCCCUUACGGGGAAAGAUUUAUUGCCGAAGGAACGGCCCGCGUCCGAUUAGCUAGUUGGUGAGGUAAUGGCUCACCAAGGCGACGAUCGGUAGCUGGUCUGAGAGGAUGACCAGCAUCACUGGGACUGAGACACGGCCCAGACUCCUACGGGAGGCAGCAGUGGGGAAUAUUGGACAAUGGGCGCAAGCCUGAUCCAGCCAUGCCGCGUGGAUGAUGAAGGCCUUAGGGUUGUAAAGUCCUUUUAACGGGGAAGAUAAUGACGGUACCCGUAGAAUAAGCCCCGGCUAACUUCGUGCCAGCAGGCCGC